Non-coding RNA from Rattus norvegicus (Norway rat), 273 nucleotides. NCBI's taxonomy places the organism in Eukaryota, Metazoa, Chordata, Mammalia, Rodentia, Muridae. The record is from RefSeq and is a predicted model, not a curated record.
UGAUGAUCCUUGCUCUACCACAUCCUGCCUCUUCCGCAGGAUGGCACACAGACAAAGAAGACACACAGACAAAGAAGAAUGUUGAACUCAGCUUGGUGGGAGGAGCUAGGAUCUGCCAAGAGCUGGGGACCGAACCCAGGGCCUUGUGUCUGCUAGGCAAGCGCUCUACCACUGAGCUAAAUCCCCAACCCCGGAAGAAAGAAAUCUCAAUCAAGUAUUUUGCUAAUUUAUGGAACAGAUGCAAAAUUAAUAAAACAAAAAAAGCCCCAAAAA